GACGUCGAUAUUCGACGUCAUAAACACACAACUUUGGUGUUUAUGACGUCGAUAUUCGACGUCAUAAACACGAACAACUUUGGUGUUUAUGACGUCGAUAUUCGACGUGAUAAACACGAACAACUUUGGUGUUUAUGACGUCGUUAUUCGACGUCAUAAACACGAACAACUUUGGUGUUUAUGACGUCGAUAUUCGACGUCAUAAACACGAACAACUUUGGUGUUUAUGACGUCGAUAUUCGACGUC
Molecule: microRNA precursor, 247 nt
Filed under: Paramuricea clavata
Lineage: Eukaryota; Metazoa; Cnidaria; Anthozoa; Malacalcyonacea; Plexauridae
Source: RNAcentral